GGGUUCGGGUGGCUACCAUGCAGUCGAACGGUAAGGCCCUUCGGGGUACACGAGUGGCGAACGGGUGAGUAACACGUGGGUGAUCUGCCCUGCACUUCGGGAUAAGCCCGGGAAACUGGGUCUAAUACCGGAUAGUACUGCGCGGUGCAUGCCGUGUGGUGGAAAGAUUUAUCGGUGCAGGAUGGGCCCGCGGCCUAUCAGCUUGUUGGUGGGGUAAUGGCCUACCAAGGCGACGACGGGUAGCCGGCCUGAGAGGGCGACCGGCCACACUGGGACUGAGACACGGCCCAGACUCCUACGGGAGGCAGCAGUGGGGAAUAUUGCACAAUGGGCGCAAGCCUGAUGCAGCGACGCCGCGUGAGGGAUGACGGCCUUCGGGUUGUAAACCUCUUUCAGCAGGGACGAAGCGCAAGUGACGGUACCUGCAGAAGAAGCACCGGCCAACUACGUGCCAGCAGCCGCGGUAAUACGUAGGGUGCAAGCGUUGUCCGGAAUUACUGGGCGUAAAGAGCUCGUAGGCGGUUUGUCGCGUCGUCUGUGAAAACCAGCAGCUCAACUGUUGGCUUGCAGGCGAUACGGGCAGACUUGAGUAUUUCAGGGGAGACUGGAAUUCCUGGUGUAGCGGUGAAAUGCGCAGAUAUCAGGAGGAACACCGGUGGCGAAGGCGGGUCUCUGGGAAAUAACUGACGCUGAGGAGCGAAAGCGUGGGUAGCGAACAGGAUUAGAUACCCUGGUAGUCCACGCCGUAAACGGUGGGCGCUAGGUGUGGGUUUCCUUCCACGGGAUCCGUGCCGUAGCUAACGCAUUAAGCGCCCCGCCUGGGGAGUACGGGCCGCAAGGGCUAAAACUCAAAGGGAAUUUGACGGGGGCCCGCACAAAGCGGCGGAGCAUGUGGAUUAAUUCGAUGCAACGCGAAGAACCUUACCUGGGUUUGACAUACACCGGGAAAGCCGUAGAGAUACGGGCCCCCUUGUGGUCGGUGUACAGGUGGGUGGCAUGGGCUGUCGUCAGCUCGUGUCGUGGAAGAUGUUGGGUUAAGGUCCCGCCACGAGCGCAACCAUUGUUCUUGUGUGCCAGCGCAUAUGGCUGGACGCAGAACUGACUGGUUCACUCGGAGAGG
This 1120-nucleotide ribosomal RNA is filed under the name Rhodococcoides corynebacterioides. RNAcentral's name for it is "bacterial SSU rRNA". It matches the Rfam family "Bacterial small subunit ribosomal RNA", at positions 40 to 1172 of the family's 1533-position model. The record is from RNAcentral. Lineage: Bacteria; Bacillati; Actinomycetota; Actinomycetes; Mycobacteriales; Nocardiaceae.